Molecule: long non-coding RNA, 423 nt
Organism: Gossypium raimondii (Peruvian cotton)
Lineage: Eukaryota; Viridiplantae; Streptophyta; Magnoliopsida; Malvales; Malvaceae
Exons: 2
Source: RefSeq, a predicted model, not a curated record
AAGAAAAAAAAAAUAAAAAAAACUAAGCACUCUCUCCCUCUGCACCGCACGACGGUUCAUCGCCUUCUUCGAAGACUCCCCGAACCUUGCCCCAGACUCCGAUGACGACGGAGAGAGAGCCAAGAUUGCACUGCCAGGUGUACGGGCGUACAAGGGCCAGCUGGGACGUGGCGCAGCUCGUGUGAGGCAUCGUGCGUGGUGGGCACGCGAGGAGGCGUGCGGCGCUGGGGCUGGGUAGAGGCAGGAGCGGCGCCCUAAGGUUUGCUGAAAUGUUUAUGUUGUGGGCCAUUUGGGCUGAGUCGGGUUUUGGGCCAUAGGUUUAAUUGGGUCUGUAAUCUGGGCUUAAUGGGUUGUGUUUAGUUUGGGUCGUAUUGAGCCCAGUGUAAAUGGACAUUUAAAAUGGACUGUUUUUUUAUUGGUUUA